RNAcentral lists this ribosomal RNA (604 nucleotides) under uncultured Borreliella sp. Its description in RNAcentral is "bacterial SSU rRNA". It matches the Rfam family "Bacterial small subunit ribosomal RNA", at positions 32 to 629 of the family's 1533-position model. Lineage: Bacteria; Pseudomonadati; Spirochaetota; Spirochaetia; Spirochaetales; Borreliaceae. The record is from RNAcentral.
UACGCUGGCAGUGCGUCUUAAGCAUGCAAGUCAAACGGGAUGUAGCAAUACAUCUAGUGGCGAACGGGUGAGUAACGCGUGGAUGAUCUACCUACGAGAUGGGGAUAACUAUUAGAAAUAGUAGCUAAUACCGAAUAAAGUCAAUUAAUUUGUUAAUUGAUGAAAGGAAGCCUUUAAAGCUUCGCUUGUAGAUGAGUCUGCGUCUUAUUAGUUAGUUGGUAGGGUAAAUGCCUACCAAGGCGAUGAUAAGUAACCGGCCUGAGAGGGUGAACGGUCACACUGGAACUGAGAUACGGUCCAGACUCCUACGGGAGGCAGCAGCUAAGAAUCUUCCGCAAUGGGCGAAAGCCUGACGGAGCGACACUGCGUGAAUGAAGAAGGUCGAAAGAUUGUAAAAUUCUUUUAUAAAUGAGGAAUAAGCUUUGUAGGAAAUGACGAAGUGAUGACGUUAAUUUAUGAAUAAGCCCCGGCUAAUUACGUGCCAGCAGCCGCGGUAAUACGUAAGGGGCGAGCGUUGUUCGGGAUUAUUGGGCGUAAAGGGUGAGUAGGCGGAUAUAUAAGUCUAUGCAUAAAAUACCACAGCUCAACUGUGNAACUAUGUUGG